This 1100-nucleotide ribosomal RNA is filed under the name uncultured bacterium. Its description in RNAcentral is "bacterial SSU rRNA". It matches the Rfam family "Bacterial small subunit ribosomal RNA", at positions 28 to 1139 of the family's 1533-position model. The record is from RNAcentral.
GAUGAACGCUGGCGGCGCGCUUAACACAUGCAAGUCGAACGGUGAAGCCAAGCUUGCUUGGUGGAUCAGUGGCGAACGGGUGAGUAACACGUGAGCAACCUGCCCUGGACUCUGGGAUAAGCGCUGGAAACGGCGUCUAAUACUGGAUAUGAGACGUGAUCGCAUGGUCAACGUUUGGAAAGAUUUUUCGGUCUGGGAUGGGCUCGCGGCCUAUCAGCUUGUUGGUGAGGUAAUGGCUCACCAAGGCGUCGACGGGUAGCCGGCCUGAGAGGGUGACCGGCCACACUGGGACUGAGACACGGCCCAGACUCCUACGGGAGGCAGCAGUGGGGAAUAUUGCACAAUGGGCGGAAGCCUGAUGCAGCAACGCCGCGUGAGGGAUGACGGCCUUCGGGUUGUAAACCUCUUUUAGCAGGGAAGAAGCGAAAGUGACGGUACCUGCAGAAAAAGCGCCGGCUAACUACGUGCCAGCAGCCGCGGUAAUACGUAGGGCGCAAGCGUUAUCCGGAAUUAUUGGGCGUAAAGAGCUCGUAGGCGGUUUGUCGCGUCUGCUGUGAAAUCCCGAGGCUCAACCUCGGGCCUGCAGUGGGUACGGGCAGACUAGAGUGCGGUAGGGGAGAUUGGAAUUCCUGGUGUAGCGGUGGAAUGCGCAGAUAUCAGGAGGAACACCGAUGGCGAAGGCAGAUCUCUGGGCCGUAACUGACGCUGAGGAGCGAAAGGGUGGGGAGCAAACAGGCUUAGAUACCCUGGUAGUCCACCCCGUAAACGUUGGGAACUAGUUGUGGGGACCAUUCCACGGUUUCCGUGACGCAGCUAACGCAUUAAGUUCCCCGCCUGGGGAGUACGGCCGCAAGGCUAAAACUCAAAGGAAUUGACGGGGACCCGCACAAGCGGCGGAGCAUGCGGAUUAAUUCGAUGCAACGCGAAGAACCUUACCAAGGCUUGACAUACACCAGAACGGGCCAGAAAUGGUCAACUCUUUGGACACUGGUGAACAGGUGGUGCAUGGUUGUCGUCAGCUCGUGUCGUGAGAUGUUGGGUUAAGUCCCGCAACGAGCGCAACCCUCGUUCUAUGUUGCCAGCACGUAAUGGUGGGAACU